This 21-nucleotide unclassified non-coding RNA is filed under the name synthetic construct. The record is from RNAcentral.
GUGAAGGUCUUCAACACUACC